This 253-nucleotide ribosomal RNA is filed under the name uncultured Eubacteriales bacterium. Its description in RNAcentral is "uncultured Clostridiales bacterium partial 16S ribosomal RNA". It matches the Rfam family "Bacterial small subunit ribosomal RNA", at positions 524 to 776 of the family's 1533-position model. The record is from RNAcentral. Lineage: Bacteria; Bacillati; Bacillota; Clostridia; Eubacteriales.
UACGUAGGGGGCAAGCGUUAUCCGGAUUUACUGGGUGUAAAGGGAGCGCAGGCGGUAUGGCAAGUCAGAUGUGAAAACCCAGGGCUCAACCCUGGGACUGCAUUUGAAACUGCCAUACUGGAGUGCCGGAGAGGUAAGUGGAAUUCCUAGUGUAGCGGUGAAAUGCGUAGAUAUCACGCAGAACCCCGAUUGCGAAGGCAGCAUACCGGUGCACAACUGACGCUCAGGCACGAAAGCGUGGGUAUCGAACAGG